Molecule: microRNA precursor, 109 nt
Filed under: Bigelowiella natans CCMP2755
Lineage: Eukaryota; Cercozoa; Chlorarachniophyceae
Description: miRNA EPrBNAG00000013086
Source: RNAcentral
UGAUGAUAAUGACGAUGAUGAUGAUGAUGACAUGUAUCGUGUUUAGAUAUUAUGACGUGUGAUUAUUCGAGUUACUUGAUGAUGGUCAUCAUCAUCAUCAUCACAACCA